Molecule: long non-coding RNA, 723 nt
Filed under: Malus domestica (apple)
Lineage: Eukaryota; Viridiplantae; Streptophyta; Magnoliopsida; Rosales; Rosaceae
Description: long non-coding RNA (MDOM_LNC021224)
Source: RNAcentral
AUCCUUAGGGUGACUUUUUGGGUUCUUGUUUGUCUUGUUAAAAUGGUUUUAAGGUGACUUUUGGAACCCCUAAGUACCCUAGGAUAUUUGCCCUCUUUUGAGAGGUGAAAAUUUUGAGUUUUGGUGAAUGAAAACAUCCAUGGAACUAUUAUGAGUUUUCAUGGUGUUCUUCAUUGUUCUUGAAGUUCUUGCCAAGAACAAAAAAAAAAAAGGUUUGAAGUUUUGAUUCAAAAGUUUUAUGUUUUUCAUAAAGUUUUGGUUUAAUUUUGAUGGGUGAUGGAUAUUGGUGAAGCAUUAAUUUUGGUUUUAAUGUUAGACAAAUAUCUUUAAUGUUUGUCUAAACUCAUUAAUGUUUUUACAAAACAUUUUCUUACAAACCAUCAAUUUCACCUCACCCACCAAAAUCAACUUGCAUAUUGCACAUGCAUGCACUAAAACCCUUUCACACUUGUUCACACACUCCCUUGGCCGGCCACCCCUCAAGUGGGGUGUUUUUUUGGGUCUUUUGUGCAAUUACAUAAAGUUGUGAAAAUUUUGUGUUUUUGCAUUUUGGCCCAAAAGUUUACGUUUUUACGUUAAGGUCCUAAAACGCUAAAGGACAAAUUGUUUUGAUCCUUUAAUGAUGUUUUUACAUUAAUGAAAUUUUGGGCUCUAGUUGUAUUUACAUGAAGUUGUGGACUAUUGUGUUUAUACAAAGUGACCCCAAAAGUUUUUGUAUUUGCA